Long non-coding RNA from Vicia villosa (hairy vetch), 1046 nucleotides. RefSeq lists it as uncharacterized. The record is from RefSeq and is a predicted model, not a curated record. The transcript has 3 exons. NCBI's taxonomy places the organism in Eukaryota, Viridiplantae, Streptophyta, Magnoliopsida, Fabales, Fabaceae.
CUUACUAUAUGCAAAGAAGAAGAAAAAUGAGCCAAAUCCUCAAAUUUAUUUAUCCUUUGAUAGUCUUUCUUUAUUUAUUUCUUGUUGUAACCAAUGCCAUCAAUGGUAAUCGUCCAGGCAGACCCCCAACCUAUUAUCCAUUCCCUUGUAAAAAUCAUCGGGAUUGUUCCAAUAAAGCAUGUCACAUUCCUUUAAGACCUCGAUGCAUUUCUUCUUUUUGUGAGUGCGUUCUUCUUUUUGUGAGUGCGUAAAAUUGGAAUGAAAAUGAAAAGAAGUUUUAUGCUACUUCAAAUCGAAUUAUUUUAUUUGUAUGUUAUAAUAUUGGACAGUCGAAGGGAGGAUGGCGAAUCUUGAGAUUAUCACAUAAAUCAUCAAAGAGUUGUAAUGGAAGUUUUUUUGGUGAAUAUGUCAGCAAUUUGGUAGUGGGAAGGAACAUGUAAGACUCGUACCUGACAGUGAGCCACCUUUUCAUGCACAAAAUGUAUGUCCAUCUUGAUGUGUUUUGUGCGAUGAUGUACAACUGACUUACCAGAUAGAUAAACUGCACUCACUUUAUCAUAAUAUACUAGAGUGGUUGUGGUUACGAGGUAAUAGAGUUCCAACAAUAAAUUUAUAAUCCAACAAGAUUCAAGAUUCAUAUAUAACAUUAGCGAUGUCGCGGUACUCAGCUUCUACACUUGACCGAGAAAGUGUGUGUUGGCGCUUGGCAGAUCAUGAGAUGAGAUUGUCCCCAAAAUAAACACAAUCGCUAAAGUUGGAUCACCUGGUGUUUAGAUAACUAGUUUAAUCGACAUCAGUUAGAAUACUAGUUUGUUGAUAGAAGAGGGUUACAAAUGAAGGUCGAAAUCAAGAGUGUCGUGAAUAUACCUAAUAAUACGCUUCAGAGCUUACAUAUGUUGUAUUUUAGGAUCAUGCAUGAAUAGCCAUACCUAUUGUAUUGCAUAAGAAAUAUCAUGUCUUCUGAAAGAUAAAAAUUGUAAUGUACCGGCAAGACUCAAAUAUUGUAUUGGGUCAUGAUAUGGAUUUCUAAAAGAUCCAUUAAGUUU